GGGCAACAAAGAAGGGUGUGGCGACAGCGAGGUAGAGGACACUGCUUCAUGCUGCAAUGGUGGAGCCAUCGAUUUCCAACUUCUGUUCAAAGAGAGCCAGAACAUGAAGGAGUCGAUGACUUGUAAGGUUUGCGGAUCGAAUGAGGUGACUAUGCUUCUGCUGCCAUGUCGCCAUCUCUGCUUGUGCAAGGAUUGUGAGAGUAAGCUCAGCUUCUGCCCGCUGUGUCAGUCCUCCAAGUUUAUUGGCAUGGAGAUCUAUAUGUAGUGAGAGUGGUUAACACCACCCUAAGUCCUGAACUUUAUAAUUACUGCAAGUUUGAUGUGUAUAUCUCCCUGUAUUUCUAGUAUAGGUGCUGAAGAACAUGAACAAUUUCCGUGGGCUUGGUGGUUAUGUUGUCGAUGUAUGAGUAAAAGAUGUUUCGUUUGAACUUCC
Molecule: unclassified non-coding RNA, 433 nt
Filed under: Hevea brasiliensis (rubber tree)
Lineage: Eukaryota; Viridiplantae; Streptophyta; Magnoliopsida; Malpighiales; Euphorbiaceae
Source: RNAcentral